This 253-nucleotide ribosomal RNA is filed under the name uncultured prokaryote. RNAcentral's name for it is "partial 16S ribosomal RNA". It matches the Rfam family "Bacterial small subunit ribosomal RNA", at positions 524 to 776 of the family's 1533-position model. The record is from RNAcentral.
UACAGAGGGGGCAAGCGUUGUUCGGAAUUACUGGGCGUAAAGGGCGCGUAGGCGGCCUUCUAAGUCGAACGUGAAAUCCCCGGGCUCAACCCGGGAACUGCGUCCGAUACUGGUGGGCUCGAAUCCGGGAGAGGGAUGCGGAAUUCCUGGUGUAGCGGUGAAAUGCGUAGAUAUCAGGAGGAACACCCGAGGCGAAGGCGGCUCUCUGGACCAAUUCUGACGCUGAGGCGCGAAAGCUAGGGGAGCAAACAGG